RNAcentral lists this transfer RNA (73 nucleotides) under Canis lupus familiaris (dog). It matches the Rfam family "tRNA". From Rfam's summary of the family: Transfer RNA (tRNA) molecules are approximately 80 nucleotides in length. Their secondary structure includes four short double-helical elements and three loops (D, anti-codon, and T loops). Further hydrogen bonds mediate the characteristic L-shaped molecular structure. tRNAs have two regions of fundamental functional importance: the anti-codon, which is responsible for specific mRNA codon recognition, and the 3' end, to which the tRNAs corresponding amino acid is attached (by aminoacyl-tRNA synthetases). tRNAs cope with the degeneracy of the genetic code in two manners: having more than one tRNA (with a specific anti-codon) for a particular amino acid; and 'wobble' base-pairing, i.e. permitting non-standard base-pairing at the 3rd anti-codon position. RNAcentral also lists the same sequence under 1 other name. The record is from Rfam by way of RNAcentral. Lineage: Eukaryota; Metazoa; Chordata; Mammalia; Carnivora; Canidae.
GCCCAACUGGCUCAGUUGGUGGAGUGUGUGACUCUUGAUCUCUAGGUUGCGAGUUUGAGCUCCACGUUGGGUG